ACGAACGCUGGCGGCAUGCCUAACACAUGCAAGUCGAACGAGACCUUCGGGUCUAGUGGCGCACGGGUGCGUAACGCGUGGGAAUCUGCCCUUCGGUUGGGAAUAACUGAGAGAAAUUUCAGCUAAUACCUUAUAAUGUCUUCGGACCAAAGAUUUAUCGCCGAGGGAUGAGCCCGCGUAGGAUUAGGUAGUUGGUGGGGUAAUGGCCUACCAAGCCGACGAUCCUUAGCUGGUCUGAGAGGAUGAUCAGCCACACUGGGACUGAGACACGGCCCAGACUCCUACGGGAGGCAGCAGUGGGGAAUAUGGGACAAUGGGCGAAAGCCUGAUCCAGCAAUGCCGCGUGAGUGAUGAAGGCCUUAGGGUUGUAAAGCUCUUUUACCCGGGAUGAUAAUGACAGUACCGGGAGAAUAAGCUCCGGCUAACUCCGU
RNAcentral lists this ribosomal RNA (431 nucleotides) under uncultured bacterium. RNAcentral describes it as "partial 16S ribosomal RNA". It matches the Rfam family "Bacterial small subunit ribosomal RNA", at positions 29 to 506 of the family's 1533-position model. The record is from RNAcentral.